UUCGUCAAGAACCCGAAAACUCCUUCCCAAGAGAAUUCAUUAUCUUUCCUUGUGGAAAAGAACUGGUCAGUUUGUCACUGGCCUGUGAACGGUGGACACCAAGAUUUGUCCUUUCCUCUCUGUAUAAAGAAGAAUAAAGUGGAAACAGAGGCAGGCAACUUCCUCCGCCGUGUUAGAAAGGAAAGGGAGACUGCUUUACUGGAAGCUUCCGGUAUGGGAGAGGCGGGAAUGACUCUAAAAGAACUUGGAAGAGUCUUUCCGAGUCCUCCCAUACCGCAGAUUUCCAGUAGUUCCUCCCUUUACUUAUCUUCACUGUUCCAGCAGCUCUGGAUCACCCAGAUCUAUCGUCCUGUGAGGUAGAUCUUGUCAAGUCUGAUGCUUUGCUCAUAUCGUACAUAGCCAAGUCUCUUAGCUAAGGGAUACGAGCAGUCGAUUCUCUGCAGAAGUUCUCCAGUUUGUUCUUGGCAACAGUAGCAUGGAGGAGAUGCCCGCUUCCUCAUGGGAGAAUCCUUUUGCUAGAGUUUUAGCUAGAAUAACUAGAAGAAAGCUAUUUUAGCCUGCUCAUGCUCUCUGAAACAGGGAGUGAGUUUGCAGAGAGUCUUCUUGUAUACUGAAGUUCAUACUGAAAAUUAAUGAUUUUAAUUGCCUUUCUUCUUUCAAUUC
Long non-coding RNA from Populus euphratica (Euphrates poplar), 663 nucleotides. RefSeq lists it as uncharacterized. The record is from RefSeq and is a predicted model, not a curated record. Lineage: Eukaryota; Viridiplantae; Streptophyta; Magnoliopsida; Malpighiales; Salicaceae. The transcript is spliced from 2 exons.